Molecule: long non-coding RNA, 2499 nt
Organism: Ricinus communis (castor bean)
Lineage: Eukaryota; Viridiplantae; Streptophyta; Magnoliopsida; Malpighiales; Euphorbiaceae
Exons: 2
Source: RefSeq, a predicted model, not a curated record
UUUAAAUGCAUGUAUUAACAAAUUUGGAAUAAAUAAGUAUAAAGUAGAUCCAAAUAGACCGUUAUGAUACUAGUUAAAAUUGGUUAAAUCCAUGUACAUUAGAUAUAUGAUCACUUUGUCUUAGUAAUUCUAAAGCGUACCCUUAAAAGCUCUGAGUAAAUGCAAUCAAUUUCUGAAUCAUAUAAUGUCAUGUUAUAUAAUGAUUUUAUUCCAUGUGACACAAAUCCUUGUGAUACAUGCAAUGUAUAAUUGACAAGAAAUGUGAUUUUGCAAAGGAACAUGAUUCUAUUCCUGUCGUAUAAUUUCUGUCCUGAGUAGUGUGAGAAGAGAAGAAAAAGAAAAAAAAAAGAAAUCUUUGACACAGGAAAAUAAUUAAAGAACCCCACAGGCCACAGGCCACAGCUAGCUACCACAAUUUGCACAGCCAAAAUUGUAUUCCCUUCAUCAAUUAGUACAAAUAUUCGUGCAAUAUUCUUAAUUUAUUCGUAUACUAGAUUUAUAGCUAAAAUAGGUAGACUUAAUCAUUUAUACGUAUCUGUUUAUCAUGAAAGAAGCAUAAUAUAUAUUAAUUUUUUAACAUUACUAUAGUUUUUCAGUGGCAUGUAUACAUACAUAUAAUAUCUUAACAUCAUCAUAAAUUAUAAAGAAAAGAAAAACAGUAUGAGUGGGGGACAUGUGGGGAUCAUGAAAAUAACAUAAGACCCGAUGAGGCAGACAAUUGUAAUGUUUCCAUGUCUCCAUUAAUUUCUGUGAAAUUUUAAGCAUCCAUAGGGAAUUCAAUAUCAGACAUAUAUGAAAGACAAAAUCUUUCAAGUGCAAUUUGUAAAAUUCCAUCAUAAUCUCCCUGUCGAAAACAUCACACUUCAGGCUGAGAAUAGAGAGUAUAAUAAUUUAUAAAAUGGGAGAAUAAUAUCCAUUAAUAACUUGAUUCAAUUAGCAGUAACCUGAGUUUCGAGCCUUAUUUUAUUUUAACUUAAAUAUUAGCUGCCAUAUAUUUACACCUCGUGAUUGUGUGAUCCUAUCCAUUCAAAUCCCAACAUGAAGACAGUAGAAAUGUGAGUCACUGUUUGACAAUUGACAUAGCCUAUCCACCUUUCUUUUUAUGUGUUUUUUCUUCUUCUUUAAAUUUAUGUAUGAUAACAGCAAAAAAUAAUUAGGAAAGACUUGCUUAUUAAGAAAUUAAAAUUGAACUUGGGAAAUUUACAGAACCUUUUUAUCUUUUUUUUUUUCUUUUUUUCUGGAUAACUCAAGAUUGAAAUUUGAAUUUUGUGAUAUAUAAUUCUAAUAAAUAGUUCUGGAUAACAUCUUCUUUUUUUUUAUAGAAAGGAUAAUAUAUUGAAAUUCUUAAGGACAAGGUUGAAAACUUAUAUGGUCUCAAAACUUGAGAAUCUUAAAAACUCAAAGCCCUAACAAAUUAAAGAAUAUAUUUUUUUUUUUCUUUUUGACAUUAGUGAGGUUUGAAUCCUAAAAAUUUAUUUUCUGAGUGGUCUAACCUUACCAUUAGACAAAUUAAAACAACAAAAUCAUGAGUUUAUAUACAUAGAAUGAAUUUGAUACAUUGUAAUUAUAAUAAUAAUUGUAAUCCUGAAAAACGUUAUGUUAUAUCUGGCUGUCUACAGUCUACAGGAAUGGAGAAUUAUAAUCAUGAGUUUCCAUGAAUUGGCAGUGGGGUCAAGUACCUAUAUGCAUGGAACUUGGAAGGGAUGAAAAUAGGGGAAAAUUUGGCGAAGAAUUUCUGGAAUCGGAAAAUGGAAACAAGAAUAGUACAAAGAUUAGGCACAAGACUGACCAUAUCAACCCUUUUAGAGAUCAACAAGGGAAGUUUUAUAUAUAUAUAUAUAUAUAUAUAUAUAUAUAUAUAUAGAGAGAGAGAGAGAGAGAAGAAAAUUGGGGAUUCAACUUGACAUGAUUUAACAAACUUGCAAUAUUACAUUUUAUUUUUUCUUUUCCUUGCAAUUUAUAUAUGUAUGUAUGUAUGCAGUAUAGUUUGUGCGGGGCGUUCCCUUCCAAGGAAGGACUUUUCUCUCUAGUGGGCUACCUAACUAGCACUUGAGGAACAGACAUGACUAGCACGCCAUACUUCUUCUCUUCUUCACUAUAUAUGUACGUUCGUAAUUUCACAUGCUGGAUCAAGUCCCAUGUAUGUGGUCUAUCUCAUAAUUGAUAUCCACACCAGAUUACAAGCUAAAGCUGAUUAAAAGAAAUUGUCAAAGGAACCAAAGGCUCCGUGAUUUUGGAAGCCAAAGGCAAAUGGUCUAGAAUGGCAGCACAGGUCUAAGGCAAGACUUGAAGGGGUUAAUUAGAGUUUUGAAAAAUGAAAGACCCUCUUGCGUCACAUUGCUGUCCACAUUCAUCAUUGCUUACGUGUAUAAAUAAGAUUUUUCAAGAAUAAAAUAAAGAAGUGGCACCAACAGCAUGAUCAGUUGAAAAGGGGAUUUGCUAUAUAUUAAUAAUAAUAAUAAUAAUAAUAAUAAUGAUAAUUAUAUGUUUAUGGGGAUA